GACUGCAAUAGUGAGCCGUUUCCGUUGCUCUGUCGAUAGUCCAUUUACCCCCGGUAUUCCAACCGAAGCAUCUCUAAUUUCAUCCAACUCAAUUGUUUCAAGAACUUCAUUGACAAAUUCCUGUGGGGGAGAGGAAUAUGGGCGCAACCAGGCUGAAUAUGCAACUGACUCGCCCACUGUGAUUUGUGGGGAAUGAACAUCAGUUUGUUCACAGUAACCUGAUAUCCGAGCAAAGAGGAAGGCAUUCCUUUUCAUAAGAAGAAGCUCCCGUGCAAAACAUGCCUUAAGGAGAUCCCACUUCGAUAAUGAGUAGAUACUGAAGGAUAGGGCAUUUUUAUGUCCUUUUGAUUUGUCAUACGGCUUUGAAAGCUCUUCGGGAUAUAUAUGAAGAAGCCACAGAAUUACAAUCUUGGAGAACCGCAUCCAUCACAGACGGCAGGACAGAUCGUAACUGUUGUGGCUAAAAUGAAUUGAGCUGUGCACAUACUGUACAUUCUUUUAAGAAUUAGUAGGAAAGAAUCCCACUGAAGAAUUAUAUAGUACCAAAAAGGUUUGUAUUUACCUUCAUGUAUGUAUCUAUGUCAGGAUCUGGGGUAAUCCCAGCCUCCUUCUCCCUUCUAAUGACUUCCUUCAUGAUUUCUGGUUUGUACAAUGAAAUUAGAGCGCUUGGUUUAGUAGAGGCAACGUGUAAUGUCUUAUUUUUCCUGAAAUCAAGGUCCUUGAGACUUUGGGCAUUUGCUUCAGUUACAUGUUUUGUAGAGAAAGAAAAGAACACUUAGUUACCUGCUCUGCUGCCAACACCCUGGAAUCUUGCAGAGAAGUCGAGCGUCUCCCUGACAGUCAUCUCAGGGACAUGAAGAUCAUACUGACUAAUGCAUAUAUGUAUGAGGAAAGCAUGGGGCACGCUCUGUUUUGUGCGCAGGCAUAUAUGUAUGAGGAAAGCAUGCGGCACGCUCUGUUUUGUGCGCGUGCAAUUUCAGACCUACAUGCAACUCAGAAGUGGCAGCUAAAGAAUAGAGGUAGAUGAUGGAAUCGGGAGGGGGGUACCUUGAGAUUUUUGUUGAGCUUUCCUGCAAGUGCUAGCAAGAGGGUCGUUUUGCCACAGCCUGGGGGUCCAAGAAGAAGGGUCAUCCUGCAAUGUUGCACACUAGCUAAUCAGAUCAUGAGGAAGGAAGGAAGGACGGAAUGGCAGAUGAUGAUACAUGUAUGUCAUGGAUAGAUAUAAUUACCUGGAAGGGUUGAGGAUGCCUGUGGCAUGUUUGACGAUGUGGAUCCUUUCUUGGUUACGGUUGAAUCCCAUGCCCAGCAUGGUGGUGAGCACCUGCAGACAGAGUAAUGGCAUUUGAGCAGCCAACAAACAAAAGAAAGGUGUGCAAUGGCAGUAGAGAGGAGUACAAAAGAACAGACCGAGAGU
Long non-coding RNA from Brachypodium distachyon (stiff brome), 1414 nucleotides. RefSeq lists it as uncharacterized. The record is from RefSeq and is a predicted model, not a curated record. NCBI's taxonomy places the organism in Eukaryota, Viridiplantae, Streptophyta, Magnoliopsida, Poales, Poaceae. The transcript is spliced from 5 exons.